RNAcentral lists this ribosomal RNA (1240 nucleotides) under metagenome. RNAcentral's name for it is "bacterial LSU rRNA". It matches the Rfam family "Bacterial large subunit ribosomal RNA", at positions 1564 to 2815 of the family's 2925-position model. The record is from RNAcentral.
UGAAUACGAGAUGCUACGGCGUCGAAGCAGUCUAUGUCAUACUUCCAAGAAAAGCUUGCACUGUCAUAAACAAAUAAUGCCUGUACCAUAACCGACACAGGUGGGUAGGUAGAGUAUACUAAGGGGCGCGAGAUAACUCUCUCUAAGGAACUCGGCAAAAUGACUCCGUAACUUCGGGAGAAGGAGUGCCUUAUUUAUAAGGUUGCAAUAACAAGAUCCAAGCAACUGUUUACCAAAAACACAGGUCUCCGCUAAGUCGUAAGACGAUGUAUGGGGGCUGACGCCUGCCCAGUGCCAGAAGGUUAAAGAAGUUGGUUAGCAUCCGCGAUGCUGAUAACUGAAGCCCUGGUGAACGGCGGCCGUAACUAUAACGGUCCUAAGGUAGCGAAAUUCCUUGUCGGGUAAGUUCCGACCCGCACGAAAGGCGUAAUGAUUUGGAUACUGUCUCGGAGAGGGGCUCGGUGAAAUAGACUUGUCUGUGAAGAUGCGGACUACCUGCACCAGGACAGAAAGACCCUAUGAAGCUUUACUGUAACCUGAAAUUGAAAUUGGACUUUACUUGCGCAGUAUAGGUGGAGGCGUUGAGAAUAUUCUUGCGGGAUUAUUGGAGCCAUCAGUGAGAUACCACUCUUGUAAUGUUAGAUUUCUAACUUUGUAUCAUUAUCUGGUCAAAGAACAGUUCCAGGCGGGCAGUUUGACUGGGGCGGUCGCCUCCUAAACGGUAACGGAGGCGCACAAAGGUUUCCUCUGAACGGGUAGAAAUCGUAUCUAGAGUGUAAAGGCAUAAGGAAGCUUGACUGUGAGACCUACAAGUCGAGCAGGGACGAAAGUCGGUCUUAGUGAUCUGACGGUGCUGAGUGGAAAGGCCGUCACUCAACGGAUAAAAGUUACUCUAGGAUAACAGGCUGAUCUCCCCCAAGAGUUCACAUCGACGGGGAGGUUUGGCACCUCGAUGUCGGCUCAUCGCAUCCUGGGGCGGUAGUACGUCCCAAGGGUUGGGCUGUUCGCCCAUGAAAGCGGUACGCGAGCUGGGUUCAGAACGUCGUGAGACAGUUCGGUCCAUAUCCGGUGUGGGCGUUAGAAUAUUGAGAGGAGCCUUCUUUAGUACGAGAGGACCGAGAAGGACAUACCUCUGGUGUACCAGUUAUCGUGCCAACGGUAAACGCUGGGUAGCUAUGUGUGGAGUGGAUAACCGCUGAAAGCAUCUAAGUGGGAAGCCCACCUCAAGAUAAGUAUUCCC